AAGCAUAUCAAUAAGCGGAGGAAAAGAAACCAACAGGGAUUGCCCUAGUAACGGCGAGUGAAGCGGCAACAGCUCAAAUUUGAAAUCUGGCUCUUUCAGAGUCCGAGUUGUAAUUUGCAGAGGGCGCUUUGGCUUUGGCAGCGGUCCAAGUUCCUUGGAACAGGACGUCACAGAGGGUGAGAAUCCCGUACGUGGUCGCUAGCUAUUGCCGUGUAAAGCCCCUUCGACGAGUCGAGUUGUUUGGGAAUGCAGCUCUAAAUGGGAGGUAAAUUUCUUCUAAAGCUAAAUAUUGGCCAGAGACCGAUAGCGCACAAGUAGAGUGAUCGAAAGAUGAAAAGCACUUUGGAAAGAGAGUCAAACAGCACGUGAAAUUGUUGAAAGGGAAGCGCUUGCAGCCAGACUUGCUUGCAGUUGCUCAUCCGGGCUUUUGCCCGGUGCACUCUUCUGUAGGCAGGCCAGCAUCAGUUUGGGCGGUGGGAUAAAGGUCUCUGUCACGUUCCUUCCUUCGGGUUGGCCAUAUAGGGGAGACGUCAUACCACCAGCCUGGACUGAGGUCCGCGCAUCUGCUAGGAUGCUGGCGUAAUGGCUGUAAGCGGCCCGUCUUGAAACACGGACCAAGGAGUCUAACAUCUAUGCGAGUGUUUGGGUGUCAAGCCCGAGCGCGUAAUGAAAGUGAACGGAGGUGGGAACCCGCAAGGGCGCACCAUCGACCGAUCCUGAAGUUUACGGAAGGAUUUGAGUAAGAGCAUGGCUGUUGGGACCCGAAAGAUGGUGAACUAUGCUUGAAUAGGGUGAAGCCAGAGGAAACUCUGGUGGAGGCUCGCAGCGGUUCUGACGUGCAAAUCGAUCGUCAAAUUUGGGCAUAGGGGCGAAAGACUAAUCGAACUAUCUAGUAGCUGGUUUCCUGCCGAAG
This 913-nucleotide ribosomal RNA is filed under the name Curvularia geniculata. Its description in RNAcentral is "LSU rRNA". It matches the Rfam family "Eukaryotic large subunit ribosomal RNA", at positions 36 to 966 of the family's 3401-position model. Lineage: Eukaryota; Fungi; Ascomycota; Dothideomycetes; Pleosporales; Pleosporaceae. The record is from RNAcentral.